Molecule: ribosomal RNA, 377 nt
Filed under: uncultured bacterium
Lineage: Bacteria
Description: bacterial SSU rRNA
Rfam family: Bacterial small subunit ribosomal RNA
Source: RNAcentral
UAAUACGGGGGGUGCGAGCGUUGUCCGGAAUCACUGGGCGUAAAGGGCGCGUAGGUGGUUUGAUAAGGGUGUGGUGAAAGUCCGGGGCUCAACCCCGGAUCUGCCGUGCCGACUGUCAAACUCGAGGACUGUAGAGGCAGACGGAAUUCCGGGUGUAGCGGUGGAAUGCGUAGAGAUCCGGAGGAAGACCGGUGGCGAAGGCGGUCUGCUGGGCAGUUUCUGACACUGAGGCGCGACAGCGUGGGGAGCAAACAGGAUUAGAUACCCUGGUAGUCCACGCUGUAAACGAUGGGCACUAGGUGUCCGGGGUAUUGACCCCCUGGGUGCCGCAGCUAACGCAUUAAGUGCCCCGCCUGGGGAGUACGGUCGCAAGAUUA